UCUUCAUAAACUCAUCGACUAAAACCAAGAACAGGAAGAGAGAAAAAAAAAAUAGUGCUAAAUUUCUAUAGCUUUUGCGAGUUCUCUAGAUUUGUUAUUCUGCAAGUAUGGAUAUAGUCCCUGUUUCGGCUAGAAGGAUGUUCCGUGGUGACGGCGAUGACAAUGGUUCCGCGAUCUUUCCAGAAAAACCCUGAUGUUUACGCUCGAUUGAGUCCACGUCUGGCUGGUUUAAAUUGAUGGAUCUUGGUUGGCCAGAAUUAAGUGUGGAUUUGGUGAAUUAAUAUGAAUAUUUGUGUGUGUGCUUAAGUUGGUUCGUCCUAUGUAUCCUCGUACAUGCAUGUGGUAGUUCGGUAUGUAGUAUUGUGACUUUCCUCAUCAUGCAAUAUAUAUAAAUAAAAGGGAUAUUGCUAUUUCUCAUGUUU
Molecule: long non-coding RNA, 422 nt
Organism: Papaver somniferum (opium poppy)
Lineage: Eukaryota; Viridiplantae; Streptophyta; Magnoliopsida; Ranunculales; Papaveraceae
Exons: 2
Source: RefSeq, a predicted model, not a curated record